RNAcentral lists this transfer RNA (80 nucleotides) under Apiotrichum porosum. Its description in RNAcentral is "tRNA-Asp". It matches the Rfam family "tRNA". From Rfam's summary of the family: Transfer RNA (tRNA) molecules are approximately 80 nucleotides in length. Their secondary structure includes four short double-helical elements and three loops (D, anti-codon, and T loops). Further hydrogen bonds mediate the characteristic L-shaped molecular structure. tRNAs have two regions of fundamental functional importance: the anti-codon, which is responsible for specific mRNA codon recognition, and the 3' end, to which the tRNAs corresponding amino acid is attached (by aminoacyl-tRNA synthetases). tRNAs cope with the degeneracy of the genetic code in two manners: having more than one tRNA (with a specific anti-codon) for a particular amino acid; and 'wobble' base-pairing, i.e. permitting non-standard base-pairing at the 3rd anti-codon position. The record is from RNAcentral. Lineage: Eukaryota; Fungi; Basidiomycota; Tremellomycetes; Trichosporonales; Trichosporonaceae.
UUCUUGAUCGUAUAACGGUUAGUAUGCUCGCUUGUCACUGCAACUCGCGGGAGAUCGGAGUUCGAUUCUCCGUCAGGAAG